RNAcentral lists this ribosomal RNA (605 nucleotides) under uncultured bacterium. Its description in RNAcentral is "bacterial SSU rRNA". It matches the Rfam family "Bacterial small subunit ribosomal RNA", at positions 280 to 916 of the family's 1533-position model. The record is from RNAcentral.
CGCCCGCCCGCGCGCGGCGGGGCGGGGCGGGGGCACGGGGGGACUCCUACGGGAGGCAGCAGUGGGGAAUCUUGCACAAUGGGGGCAACCCUGAUGCAGCGACGCCGCGUGAGCGAUGAAGCCCUUCGGGGUGUAAAGCUCUUUCGGCAGGGAAGAUAAUGACGGUACCUGCAGAAGCAGCUGCGGCUAACUACGUGCCAGCAGCCGCGGUAAUACGUAGGCAGCAAGCGUUGUUCGGAGUUACUGGGCGUAAAGGGUGUGUAGGCGGCCUUCUAAGUUUGGUGUGAAAUCUCCCGGCUCAACCGGGAGGGUGCGCCGAAGACUGGGGGGCUAGAGUACGGGAUGGGAGAGUAGAAUUCCUGGUGUAGCGGUGAAAUGCGUAGAUAUCAGGAGGAAUACCGGUGGUGUAGACGGCUCUCUGGACCGUAACUGACGCUGAGACACGAAAGCGUGGGUAGCAAACAGGAUUAGAUACCCUGGUAGUCCACGCCCUAAACGAUGCAUAUUUGGUGUGGGCCAUUCAUUUGGUCCGUGCCGGAGCUAACGCGUUAAAUAUGCCGCCUGGGGAGUACAGUCGCAAGGCUGAAACUCAAAGGAAUUGACGG